This 435-nucleotide ribosomal RNA is filed under the name uncultured bacterium. RNAcentral's name for it is "partial 16S ribosomal RNA". It matches the Rfam family "Bacterial small subunit ribosomal RNA", at positions 28 to 507 of the family's 1533-position model. The record is from RNAcentral.
GAUGAACGCUGGCGGUAUGCUUAACACAUGCAAGUCGAACGGACUCUUCGGAGUUAGUGGCGGACGGGUGAGUAACGCCUGAGAAUCUGGCUUUGGGUUCGGGACAACCACUGGAAACGGUGGCUAAUACCGGAUGUGCCGAGAGGUAAAAGAGAAAUUGCCUGAAGAUGAGCUCGCGUCUGAUUAGCUAGUUGGUGAGGUAAAGGCUCACCAAGGCAGCGAUCAGUAGCUGGUCUGAGAGGAUGACCAGCCACACUGGGACUGAGACACGGCCCAGACUCCUACGGGAGGCAGCAGUGGGGAAUUUUCCGCAAUGGGCGAAAGCCUGACGGAGCAAUACCGCGUGAGGGAAGAAGGCUCUUGGGUUGUAAACCUCUUUUCUUAGGGAAGAACAAAAUGACGGUACCUAAGGAAUCAGCAUCGGCUAACUCCGUG